Molecule: ribosomal RNA, 256 nt
Filed under: uncultured bacterium
Lineage: Bacteria
Description: partial 16S ribosomal RNA
Rfam family: Bacterial small subunit ribosomal RNA
Source: RNAcentral
GUCCACGCCGUAAACGAUGCUAACUCGUUUUGGGCUUUAGGGUUCAGAGACCAAGCGAAAGUGAUAAGUUAGCCACCUGGGGAGUACGCUCGCAAGAGUGAAACUCAAAGGAAUUGACGGGGCCCGCACAAGCGGUGGAUUAUGUGGUUUAAUUCGAUGAUACGCGAGGAACCUUACCAAGACUUAAAUGGGAAUUGACAGCUUUUAGAAAUAGAGCUUUCUUCGGACAAUUUUCAAGGUGCUGCAUGGUUGUCGU